RNAcentral lists this long non-coding RNA (519 nucleotides) under Homo sapiens (human). RNAcentral describes it as "non-protein coding LINC02582:13". The record is from RNAcentral. Lineage: Eukaryota; Metazoa; Chordata; Mammalia; Primates; Hominidae.
ACAUCAUCCACUGAUCCAUCGAAUGUUGUCUAAAUUCAUUAUUACAUUACAGAUCGCAAUACAGUAUUUUUCUAAUUUUAUCAUCCCUUAUGGAGUCUUUUCCAAAAAUUAGAAAGUUAACCUAAAAGAAAACUCAGAGAUGUAUGGCACUGUGACGCUCAGGUUCAUAAAUGGUCCUGCUUCUUUAUAGUCGUCACUGUUUGACACAUGGCUUAAUCCAUCCAGCCUGACAAUCACCCGCUGCAGUGGUCUCAAAUCUAUGAUUAGAAUAUCCUAUUAAAGUAAUGUGUAAAGGUAAACUUAUUUCAGACAGCAUUAUUUAAAUUACUAAACCUAAUUUACUAAUCACUAGUCUAAAAUCAUCUGUAAAAUAUUUUAUUAACCUUUAUAAUAGCUAUUUCCCUUAGGAUAUGACAAGCAUCUCCAAUCCCAUUAUGUAUAUUGUGAACUAAAGAACAGAAAACUUGAGCUAUUGUCUAUAUUUUUAGAGACCAGGUGUUAAAGGAGGAUUUAGAAGCA